Molecule: long non-coding RNA, 204 nt
Filed under: Panax ginseng (ginseng)
Lineage: Eukaryota; Viridiplantae; Streptophyta; Magnoliopsida; Apiales; Araliaceae
Description: long non-coding RNA (PGIN_LNC017842)
Source: RNAcentral
CUUUCCUCAAGAUUCAUACUGAGCUUGUAAGGGAACUUGAGAAGAAGUUCAGCGGGAAGGUAAAAUAUUGACAUUUUGCUAACAUUAUUAUUUAUAGAGGUAUACAAAAGACUCGGAUUAGGUCAAUUAGCUUAUUGCUAACAUAUUUGGCACAGGCACUGGUGUGAGGAAGUUUUAAUUUGGAAAUAUCUUUUCAAUGUCUUG